Small nucleolar RNA from Danio rerio (zebrafish), 127 nucleotides. Its record names the gene SNORD22. It matches the Rfam family "Small nucleolar RNA SNORD22". Rfam says of the family: U22 is a member of the C/D class of snoRNA which contain the C (UGAUGA) and D (CUGA) box motifs. U22 is encoded within the U22 snoRNA host gene (UHG) in mammals and has also been identified in Xenopus. U22 is thought to as a 2'-O-ribose methylation guide for ribosomal RNA. Lineage: Eukaryota; Metazoa; Chordata; Actinopteri; Cypriniformes; Danionidae. The record is from Ensembl.
CUUUUAUGAUGCAACUCGCACACGUCUUACGCCCUGUGUCAAUGCCAGAACCUGAAAAGGUGAACCCACUGGUGUGUCCUGGGCAAUAAGGGGAUGAUCCGUUGGGGUUUCCAACAGUCUGAGAAGC